AUGACCGUGAACCAGACUGGUCUCUGCUCUCGAGGAACUUCCAAUCUAGUGGGAAGAGCCAUGUGAAUUUCAAACGGGCAUAUAUGACACUUGCUGAGCACCUGCUUUAUGCAAAGCACUGGGGAUACAAAAAGAAAGAUGUGCGCACUGCCCUCCAGGAGCUCCCAGCCCAGUGCAGGGAGGCAGAGAGGUACACAGAAAGCUAUCGUAUCUAUCACGAGAUUAGCACAAUUGUCAAUUUUCUUCACUGAUGCACCCCCAGUGCCUAAAACAGUGCCUGGCACAGGGCAGUUGCUCAGUGAAUGUGGAAUGAUGAAUCAAUUCAAGGGUAUUAUGGAAUCACAGACUGAGGAUGGGGGAGGCCUCUGGAAAGUAACAUAGGAGCUGAGGGUCGAAGGGCUGAGUAGGAAAGAACCAGUGCACAUCUGGCCUCUUCCACAAGGCUUUAAGGCUCUGCAAGAUCAGCUUGUGGCUAAUUCAUCGUUGUGCCUCUUGGUGCCUAGCAGUGGGCACUGUACUUAAUAGGUGUCAACCUCUCAGAAAUGAAACUUAAAGAUCCUGCUUUAAAAAACAAAAAGCAAUUCAGCAUCAUAGGCACAAAACUAACUUAGGUCAUCUGAGUCACCCAAGCCCUUCAGCCAGUUCACAGUGAUGGGUCUCACAAUGAUGCCAUCCCCAAAGAGCCUGGCAUGGUUUCCAAAGUUCCUUGCAGCGCUCUAUGUAGAGCUGGCAAACACAGAUUAAUUCAGCCCAUCUGCUUUGGUCCUCAUCCACAUAUUUCAGAGCAGGUUUCUCAUUACCUUAAUCCAGAUAAUAUAUUCUUUGCAGCAAGAGACCAUGAAGACAGGUAGGUUCCUGUUUUCUAAAUAGUUCACAUUUUCACAAGAACGGAAGCCCAGCCUACAAGUGAGACAGUGUUGCAUAAGCAAUCAAAUACUCAAAUGGCCCCUGCUGGAGUCCCUUUCAGGGACCACACUUCUGAAGGAAAACACCGUGGCCUGAGUUCCGAGUCUAGAUCCAAGGCAGAGCUGUAACCCUGAGGACAUUGGGUGAAUACAUUUCGGGAAAUAUUUAUUUUGGGAAUAAAUUUCGAAAUAAUGUGCAUGGAGAACGCUUUGACACCUGUAAAAAUAGGUACAAACGCUCAUUUUUAUUUUAGCAACUACCCAUCUUCUAUUGUCAUUUCUCUCUUUGUUUGCUCCACAGACACUUGCUGAGCACUUGCUUUGUGCCAAGCACUGGGGAUACAAAAAGAAAGAGAUGCCCACUGCCCUCCAGGAGCUCCCAGCCUUGAGCACACCCCUCGUGCAUUGGUUCGGGGCCCUUGGAAUGCAACCUAAAGGUACAUUAUCUAAGAGGAAGAGGAAUCUCCAGAUUCCUAGAUGUAUCUUCUCUAAGCCAGUGCUGCUGACUUAACCUCAACUACCAGAGGACAACCUGAGCCACAGAAAGUCAUUUAAGUUGCAAAGGCAAAAAGAGCUCCUCCUGUAGCACGAUGGGUGGUGAAGUGCAUGCUGCCCAGGCCCAGACGACUAUGAGCUCUUGUCCUUGGGUCUAUCCAAGAAGAGGAAUGGAGCCCUGGGCCCAGGAUGGCUUAUACAUUCCCUGUCUGGAGACAGAGGCUGGGUGACCUCUCAGGACCCUCUCAGUUCUAUAACUCCACAGCCCACUAGGGUUGGGGUCUUCAUGGCUUGUAACUGGAGAUUUUGCUAAAAGCAGGUGCUACUGCAAAGUUGUGAGUGCAAACAGGCUUCUUUCUGCAAAACGCUCAGAUCUGAGAUUCAACAAUUGCUAUCGAGCCCUCUGACCCAGCCAGUAGCCAGCCUGCAGGGGACUGUUUCUGAAGCAUUUACACCGGGCGCCAGGUGAACAAGGAGGCUGACAGCCUAGCUGAGCUCCAGAAGCUCUGGCAUUUGGAGAACAUCUUCCCUUAUUUAAUGCUUAGCCUGUGCCUAAACUGACACACCUUACGUCAGGAUAGGGUGGUUGGGCAAGUGGGUGUGUGUAGAGGUUGCUGUACAAGUCAAAUGACAUUUUCUGCCUGAAGGAGAUCACAGAAUUAGGGAAUGUUGAGUUCAAAAUUCCUACAGAACAAUCUGCCUGCUGUACCAGCGUGUCAUUUCCCCAUUCUCCUUCCCCUUCUCCAACUACUGUUCAGUCUGUACCCCAUUAACCUGCCUUUGCUUUUCUUCAUUUUUUUAUGAUUACCUGUAAUUAUCUUAUUUGUUGGCUUUUUUAUUUAUCAGCUGUUUCCCCAAUCCCAAUAUAAGGUUCAUGAAAGCAGGGGCCUUGCCUGUCUGUGCCCCAGGCACCCAGUGCCUGGCUGGUAAGCACAUAUUGAAUAAUAAAUGAGCAUCCCAUGAACUCUA
This 2369-nucleotide long non-coding RNA is filed under the name Homo sapiens (human). RNAcentral describes it as "HSALNT0290608". The record is from RNAcentral. Lineage: Eukaryota; Metazoa; Chordata; Mammalia; Primates; Hominidae.